GACUCUACCCUCGUCAAGUUGCAACCUUGAUUAAAGCGCAUAAUAGCGCUAGAGUCU
Molecule: transfer RNA, 57 nt
Filed under: Polydora hoplura
Lineage: Eukaryota; Metazoa; Annelida; Polychaeta; Spionida; Spionidae
Description: tRNA-Cys
Source: RNAcentral